This 1397-nucleotide ribosomal RNA is filed under the name Escherichia coli. RNAcentral's name for it is "partial 23S ribosomal RNA". It matches the Rfam family "Bacterial large subunit ribosomal RNA", at positions 843 to 2220 of the family's 2925-position model. The record is from RNAcentral. Lineage: Bacteria; Pseudomonadati; Pseudomonadota; Gammaproteobacteria; Enterobacterales; Enterobacteriaceae.
GAGUAGCUGGUUCUCCCCGAAAGCUAUUUAGGUAGCGCCUCGUGAAUUCAUCUCCGGGGGUAGAGCACUGUUUCGGCAAGGGGGUCAUCCCGACUUACCAACCCGAUGCAAACUGCGAAUACCGGAGAAUGUUAUCACGGGAGACACACGGCGGGUGCUAACGUCCGUCGUGAAGAGGGAAACAACCCAGACCGCCAGCUAAGGUCCCAAAGUCAUGGUUAAGUGGGAAACGAUGUGGGAAGGCCCAGACAGCCAGGAUGUUGGCUUAGAAGCAGCCAUCAUUUAAAGAAAGCGUAAUAGCUCACUGGUCGAGUCGGCCUGCGCGGAAGAUGUAACGGGGCUAAACCAUGCACCGAAGCUGCGGCAGCGACACUAUGUGUUGUUGGGUAGGGGAGCGUUCUGUAAGCCUGUGAAGGUGUGCUGUGAGGCAUGCUGGAGGUAUCAGAAGUGCGAAUGCUGACAUAAGUAACGAUAAAGCGGGUGAAAAGCCCGCUCGCCGGAAGACCAAGGGUUCCUGUCCAACGUUAAUCGGGGCAGGGUGAGUCGACCCCUAAGGCGAGGCCGAAAGGCGUAGUCGAUGGGAAACAGGUUAAUAUUCCUGUACUUGGUGUUACUGCGAAGGGGGGACGGAGAAGGCUAUGUUGGCCGGGCGACGGUUGUCCCGGUUUAAGCGUGUAGGCUGGUUUUCCAGGCAAAUCCGGAAAAUCAAGGCUGAGGCGUGAUGACGAGGCACUACGGUGCUGAAGCGACAAAUGCCCUGCUUCCAGGAAAAGCCUCUAAGCAUCAGGUAACAUCAAAUCGUACCCCAAACCGACACAGGUGGUCAGGUAGAGAAUACCAAGGCGCUUGAGAGAACUCGGGUGAAGGAACUAGGCAAAAUGGUGCCGUAACUUCGGGAGAAGGCACGCUGAUAUGUAGGUGAAGCGACUUGCUCGUGGAGCUGAAAUCAGUCGAAGAUACCAGCUGGCUGCAACUGUUUAUUAAAAACACAGCACUGUGCAAACACGAAAGUGGACGUAUACGGUGUGACGCCUGCCCGGUGCCGGAAGGUUAAUUGAUGGGGUUAGCGGCAACGCGAAGCUCUUGAUCGAAGCCCCGGUAAACGGCGGCCGUAACUAUAACGGUCCUAAGGUAGCGAAAUUCCUUGUCGGGUAAGUUCCGACCUGCACGAAUGGCGUAAUGAUGGCCAGGCUGUCUCCACCCGAGACUCAGUGAAAUUGAACUCGCUGUGAAGAUGCAGUGUACCCGCGGCAAGACGGAAAGACCCCGUGAACCUUUACUAUAGCUUGACACUGAACAUUGAGCCUUGAUGUGUAGGAUAGGUGGGAGGCUUUGAAGUGUGGACGCCAGUCUGCAUGGACGCCGACCUUGAAAUACCACCCUUUAAUGUUUGAAUG